This 107-nucleotide ribosomal RNA is filed under the name Fukomys damarensis (Damara mole-rat). The record is from RNAcentral. Lineage: Eukaryota; Metazoa; Chordata; Mammalia; Rodentia; Bathyergidae.
AGUUACAUCCAUACCACCCUAAACAUGCCUGAUCUCAUCUGAUCUCGGAAGCUAAGCAGGGUUGGGCCUGGUUAGUAUUUGGACGGGAGCUGCUUUACUUGUAAUAG